UUCCGGCCGAUUGGCCGGUGGUUUGGCUCCAAUUUGGCCAUAUGCGGAUUCAGCAUCGAAAAAUGAGCCAAGGAGAGAAAAUUUACCUUGUUUGGCGAUCGAAAAAUCCUCUGAUGCGGCGGCGAGUGGCGACGGGUGGCGGCGGCCGGCUCCUCCGGUCACUGGUUCUUCUUCUCCGGCGAGUGUACUGGCGGCUAGGGUUUGGGAUUGGGUGUGGGUGAGGUUAUUUAUAACCUUCCCCUUUUAAUCUCAGCCGUCCAUCACGAUUUAAUCUGGGCCGUCCGAUCGCGAUUAAAAUGAGAAUAAACCUGGACCGUCCAUCGUGAUGCGAUCUGGACCGUCCGUGCGUGAUUCAAUCUGGGCUGUCCACAUGCGUGAGAUCUCGGUCGUCCGUGCGCGUGAGAUCUGGGCUAUCCGUACGCGUAAGAUCUGGACCGUUCGAUCGCGUACACGCGGAUCGCCCACGUGGCUCCGUCCCGUGUGGCCUUCCGCGUCAGCGUCCUUGCCACGCGGCGUGUUCUGGUUGGCCGGGGCUACUAACUGGGCUGCUGACGUGGCUACUGACGUGGCACAACUUUUCUAAAUUGUAUUUUGACC
Molecule: long non-coding RNA, 597 nt
Filed under: Carica papaya (papaya)
Lineage: Eukaryota; Viridiplantae; Streptophyta; Magnoliopsida; Brassicales; Caricaceae
Description: long non-coding RNA (CPAP_LNC014558)
Source: RNAcentral